AGAGUUUGAUCAUGGCUCAGGAUGAACGCUGGCGGCGUGCCUAAUACAUGCAAGUCGAACGAGUUCUCGUUGAUGAUCGGUGCUUGCACCGAGAUUCAACAUGGAACGAGUGGCGGACGGGUGAGUAACACGUGGGUAACCUGCCCUUAAGUGGGGGAUAACAUUUGGAAACAGAUGCUAAUACCGCAUAGAUCCAAGAACCGCAUGGUUCUUGGCUGAAAGAUGGCGUAAGCUAUCGCUUUUGGAUGGACCCGCGGCGUAUUAGCUAGUUGGUGAGGUAAUGGCUCACCAAGGCGAUGAUACGUAGCCGAACUGAGAGGUUGAUCGGCCACAUUGGGACUGAGACACGGCCCAAACUCCUACGGGAGGCAGCAGUAGGGAAUCUUCCACAAUGGACGCAAGUCUGAUGGAGCAACGCCGCGUGAGUGAAGAAGGCUUUCGGGUCGUAAAACUCUGUUGUUGGAGAAGAAUGGUCGGCAGAGUAACUGUUGUCGGCGUGACGGUAUCCAACCAGAAAGCCACGGCUAGCUACGUGCCAGCAGCCGCGGUAAUACGUAGGUGGCAAGCGUUAUCCGGAUUUAUUGGGCGUAAAGCGAGCGCAGGCGGUUUUUUAAGUCUGAUGUGAAAGCCCUCGGCUUAACCGAGGAAGCGCAUCGGAAACUGGGAAACUUGAGUGCAGAAGAGGACAGUGGAACUCCAUGUGUAGCGGUGAAAUGCGUAGAUAUAUGGAAGAACACCAGUGGCGAAGGCGGCUGUCUGGUCUGUAACUGACGCUGAGGCUCGAAAGCAUGGGUAGCGAACAGGAUUAGAUACCCUGGUAGUCCAUGCCGUAAACGAUGAAUGCUAGGUGUUGGAGGGUUUCCGCCCUUCAGUGCCGCAGCUAACGCAUUAAGCAUUCCGCCUGGGGAGUACGACCGCAAGGUUGAAACUCAAAGGAAUUGACGGGGGCCCGCACAAG
This 958-nucleotide ribosomal RNA is filed under the name Lacticaseibacillus casei. RNAcentral describes it as "bacterial SSU rRNA". It matches the Rfam family "Bacterial small subunit ribosomal RNA", at positions 8 to 929 of the family's 1533-position model. The record is from RNAcentral. Lineage: Bacteria; Bacillati; Bacillota; Bacilli; Lactobacillales; Lactobacillaceae.